Molecule: non-coding RNA, 661 nt
Organism: Lolium perenne
Lineage: Eukaryota; Viridiplantae; Streptophyta; Magnoliopsida; Poales; Poaceae
Source: RefSeq, a predicted model, not a curated record
UGUAAUGGUCGUGAAUUGAGGAAUAUAUUGACCGAGUGCUGAGUUGUUGGAUUCAUGUAAUGGUCUUACGACGAGCACUUAGUUUUCUUUUCAUCAUCUUGUUCAGACUAAAUAGUAGUUCCACUAUGGAAUUCACCCAUGCAUGUAAACCAGUUGGCGUGAUAUCUUUACUUCUUUUUACAGUACCACUAAGCGGAAAAUAGGUGGGCCAGGUGGCUUAAAAAAAUUGUGCUAUUUCAUCUCAACUUCAGGCUGUUGUUGGGAAGACUGCUACUAUGUAGAUAACUUAGGUUGUGAAGCAGUUAUGGGCAUAUACCAGGCAGAAUAACCUUGAUCCCGAUUAUAAAAGGAAUAUCAUUUGCAAUGAUGAACUUCAUGUCGUCUUUGGAACUGACGCUGCAGGCAUGUUUAAGAUGAACAAGUUAUUGGCCAACCACGUAACUCUCUUGACUCAAAUAGAUCAAGAUGAGGAAGCAAGAAGAAUAUUAAGGUGGCCAAUACAUUUCUCAACAAAUUCCUCCUGUUAAUCCACCAUAUGCGGUUGUUUCUGAUGCACUAGCCAAAUUCAUUGGUGUUCAAGGAGCCUCAUGACAAUGCUCUGAAGUAUCUGUGGGAUUACAUAAAAAUUCAUUUUCAGGUAUGGAUGCGUCCUAGCUUUCUU